AAAAGUAAGCAAGGGCGCAUGGCGGAUGCCUUGGCUCUCGGAGGCGAUGAAGGACGUGAUAAGCUGCGAUAAGCUUCGGGUAGGUGCAAAUAACCUUUGAUCCGGAGAUUUCCGAAUGGGACAACCCGAUUGGUUGAAGACCAAUCAUCCAACUAAGUUGGAGGCUAACGCAGGGAACUGAAACAUCUUAGUACCUGCAGGAAAAGAAAAUAAAUAAUGAUUCCCCUAGUAGUGGCGAGCGAACGGGGAGCAGCCCAAACCACCUAUGUUACGGCAUAUGUGGGGUUGUAGGACCACGUUGUGGCAAGAAAACUGGUGAGUAGAAUGUUCUGGAAAGUUCAACCAUAGAGCAUGAUAGUUGCGUAUACGAAGCCAGUCGAAGCCUAGUGGUAUCCUGAGUAGCGCGGAGCACGAGGAAUUCUGCGUGAAUCAGCCGGGACCAUCCGGUAAGGCUAAAUACUCCCGAGAGACCGAUAGUGAACCAGUACCGUGAGGGAAAGGUGAAAAGCACUUCGAACAGAAGAGUGAAAUAGUUCCUGAACCCAUACGCCUACAAGCUGUCGGAGCCGCUUCGUGCGGUGACGGCGUGCCUUUUGCAUAAUGAGCCUACGAGUUACUCAUCACCAGCGAGGUUAAGUACUUCAGGUACGUAAGCCGAAGCGAAAGCGAGUCUGAAUAGGGCGUCAAGUUGGUGGUGGUAGACGCGAAACCUUAGUGAUCUACCCAUGGGCAGGGUGAAGGUUUGGUAACACAAACUGGAGGCCCGAACCGGUAAACGUUGAAAAGUUUUCGGAUGACCUGUGGGUAGGGGUGAAAGGCCAAUCAAACUGGGAAAUAGCUCGUACUCUCCGAAAUGCAUUUAGGUGCAGCCUCUGUUGUUUUGUUCUAGAGGUAGAGCUACUGAUUGGAUGCGAGGGCUUCACCGCCUAUCAAAUCCGGCCAAACUCCGAAUGCUAGAACAUGAAGACAGGGAGUGAGCCAGCGGGUGCUAAGGUCCGUUGACGAAAGAGGGAGAACUCAGACCAUCAGCUAAGGUCCCCAAUUGUAUGCUAAGUUGGAAUUAAAACGGGGUGGGACUGCUUAGACAGCUAGGAUGUUGGCUUGGAAGCAGCCAUUCAUUUAAAGAGUGCGUAACAGCUCACUAGUCGAGCGGUCCUGCAUGGAUAAUACGCGGGCAUAAGCAUAUAACCGAAGCUAUGGGAUUGUAGAUGAUACAAUCGGUAGGAGAGCAUUCCAUUCAGCAUAGAAGCAGUACCGUGAGGUAUUGUGGAGCGGAUGGAAAAGCAAAUGUAGGCAUAAGUAACGAUAAUGCGGGUGAGAACCCCGCACGCCGAAAGAUCAAGGAUUCCCCGGCAAUGUCAAUCAUCCGGGGGUAAGUCGGAUCCUAAGGGUAAGCCGAGUGGCGAUCCCGAUGGCAAACAGGUUAAUAUUCCUGUACUGAUCAUAACUGCGAUGCAGCGACGCAGAGGUGACACUGCUGCGUACUGACGGAAUAGUACGUUGAAACCCGUAUUCUUUGAUACCGGUAGUGAAGCACGCCGGUAGAGAUGAAAGGUGAUAGUACCGCAAUGCUUCGGUUGCGCGGAUAACGCAGGUAAGCUGACUGCCAAGAAAACCUGCUAAGCUUCAGGUAAUGAUCAUCCGUACUGUAAACGGACACACGUGAUCAGGUAGAAAAUACUAAGGCGCUCGAGAGAUUCAUGGUUAAGGAACUAGGCAAAAUGGUCCUGUAACUUCGGGAUAAAGGACGCUCUUGUGAAAGAGCCGCAGAUAAUAGGCCCAGGCGACUGUUUACCAAAAACACAUGGCUAUGCUAAUUCGCAAGAAGAUGUAUAUGGCCUGACACCUGCCCGGUGCCGGAAGGUUAAGAGGAGAGCUCAGAGGUAACUCGAAGGUUUGAAUUGAAGCCCCGGUAAACGGCGGCCGUAACUAUAACGGUCCUAAGGUAGCGAAAUUCCUUGUCGGGUAAGUUC
RNAcentral lists this ribosomal RNA (1973 nucleotides) under human gut metagenome. Its description in RNAcentral is "bacterial LSU rRNA". It matches the Rfam family "Bacterial large subunit ribosomal RNA", at positions 1 to 1983 of the family's 2925-position model. The record is from RNAcentral.